This is a non-coding RNA of Brassica napus (rape), 103 nucleotides long. The record is from Rfam. Lineage: Eukaryota; Viridiplantae; Streptophyta; Magnoliopsida; Brassicales; Brassicaceae.
GUCCCUUCGGAGACAUCCGAUAAAAUUGGAACGAUACAGAGAUGAUUAGCAUGAUCCCUGCGUAAAGAUGACACGUAUAAAUUGAGAAAUGAUCCAAAUUUUU